AGAGGAGUGUAAACUCUGUGAUGAAGAUGUUGAAAAUGUAAAGUUUCAGCUUCACCUCUGACUGUUACACAGCGCUGACACUGGAGACUCCUUCCUACACACGUUAUCAACGAUUACAUACGUUUUUUGAUCAGUUUAUGUGGAGCAUCCGUUCGCUGUGAACGAGCCGUUACUAUAGAAACGAUAACGUAUCAGCACGAGCGCAUUAAUAUAAACCUGCGCUACUAUCUGAUCUGCUGUUAUAGAGAACUAAUCACCACCUUCUGACCAAUCAGGAUCCAGAACUCUGCAGCGCCGUGGUGUAAAUGGAGCUAAAGAGAAAACAGGGUGUUUGGUAUCUAUUUGAAAAUAAAUGUUGGUGUAAGAAGAAGGUUUGGUUUGUGCUGAUGAGACUGAACUCUACAGCAGGGUUCAGUGUGUGUGAUUCUCUCGCCCUGCGUUUAUGCGCGUGUUUAGACCGAGCAGAACGGCGGCACGCUUUCAAUUACACGCUUGGUUUAGUGUGUACUACAGCAAUUACGCAUCAGGAUGGAGCAAGAUGGAGGCUGUUGGUCUAAAGCUGCGUUUAAACGCGACACAGCUCGCCAUUUUUACGUCUCAAAUUGCUUUUCGCACUUGGCUGCUUGGAGCGUCUUUAGCCAUUUUUUUUAAUCUAUGUCUAUCACACACACACACACACACACACACACACACACACACACACACACACACAGAUGUUAGCUAAUGCAUGACGUGAUCUACACGGAGCUCUGCUUUAUUCUAAAGCCCAUUAUCAGCCUCAGGUGAACAGACGAGUCACGCUCAUCAUAACCCAGUCUACACCAGAGUAAUAGAGCCACUUAUCAUGUGUGUGUGUGUGUGUGUGUGUGUGUGUGUGUGUGUGUGUGUGUGUGUGCGUGUGUGUGUGUGUGCUGAGUGCUGGUGUGUAUAAAAGCAUUUCCAUACGUAUGAAGGACAGAAAGAAGGAAAGAAAGAAUAUCAAUUAUAGAAAGAAUAAAGUCAUUGUUAAUAAAUCUCGUCCCUCUGUCACUUCCAGCACAACAAUUCCUUCUGAAAAUUUAGAUCAGAUGUGUGUGUGUGUGUGUGUGUGUGUGUGUGUGUGUGUGUGUGCACCAGGUGUAGGAGGUGUUCAGGAAGGCGAGCUGCAGUGGGCGUGGUCAGUGAGACAUGUGUGUGUGUGUGUGUGUGUGUGUGUGUGUGUGUGUGUGUGUGCACCAGGUGUAGGAGGUGUUCAGGAAGGCGAGCUGCAGUGGGCGUGGUCAGUGAGACGUGUGUGUGUGUGUGUGUGUGUGUGUGUGUGCACCAGGUGUAGGAGGUGUCCAGGAAGGCGAGCUGCAGUGGGCGUGGUCAGUGAGAUGAGUGUGUGUGUGUGUGUGUGUGUGUGUGUGUGUGCACCAGGUGUAGGAGGUAUCCAGGAAGGCGAACUGCAGUGGGCGUGGUCAGUGAAAUGAGUGUGUGUGUGUGUGUGUGUGUGUGUGUGUGCACCAGGUGUAGGAGGUAUCCAGGAAGGCGAGCUGCAGUGGGCGUGGUCAGUGAGACGAGUGUGUGUGUGUGUGUGUGUGUGUGUGCACCAGGUGUAGGAGGUGUCCAGGAAGGCGAGCUGCAGUGGGCGUGGUCAGUGAGACGGGCGUGCGUGAGCAGAGCGUCACUGAGACGCCGUCCGUCAGCCCGCAGGUAACACUGUGUUGGAGAAUAAUGAGGCGAUUUCACGGCAUGGAGAAGAUUUUAAUAACGUUCUCAUCCAGAAUGAUGUUCUUAAGGAGCAGGUUCCCUGAGGAGAACGUGGCUCUACUGAGAUAAUGACAUCGCGUGUCGUUAAUUAUUAAACAAACGAUGUUCAUACGGUCGAGACGGUAACACGAGUAACUGUCACAGCACCGAUGAGAAGAGUAAGAAGAUAAAAUCGCGAUCCUGUCUUUUCUGGUUUAUUUCAUUAUAUAGUCACAUUAGUGAAUAAAAAGAACACAAAAUAAUGACUAUUCAGUAAAUUACAGCCGGGUCCAUAAGUAUUUGGACAGUGACCCACUUUUAGUCCUGUUGCCCCUGCACACCAGCCCAGUGGAUCUGAAAUGAAGCAGUCGAGAUGUGAGUGAAGUGUCGACUUUCAGCUUUAAUUUAAUAUCAUAUUAACCGUUUAGGAAGUACAAGAUAGUUUUUUUUUUUUUUCAGAUUCCCUACAUUUACCCCGGCUCUAAAGUAAUUGGACAAUCAUAAAUAUUAAGGUUAUAUUUAAUACUUGGAUGCAAAUCUUUCGCAGUCAAUGUCGGCCUGAAAUCCGGAACACGUGGACGUCAUUAAAUGCCGAGUUUCCUCCCUCGAGAUGUUUUUCGGGUCUUUACUGCAGUCGCUGCUGGUUUGUGGGUUUUUCUGCCUUCAGUUUUGUCUUCGGUAAGUGAAAAGCAGCUCAGGUGGGUUGAGGCCGUACGUUUUGGGUCGUUAUCCGUCUGGACCGUGAAGCUCCGUCCUGGAGCAGGAUUUGACUGAAUCUGAGCAGAAAGUAAAGCUGUAUACGCUUCAGAAUUCAUCCCGCUCCUUCUAUCAGCAGUCAGAUCAUCGAUAAACACCAGUGAGAGAGUUCCACUGGCAGCCGUACACGCCCGUGCCGUGACACUUCCUCCACCAUGUUGGACAGAUGAUGUGGUAUGCUUUGGAUCAUGAAUCCUUCCUUUCCUUCUCCAUACUCUUCUCUUCCCAUUAUUCUAGUACAAGUUCAUCUUGCAUCAGAUCUGGUCUAAUCUAACCUUUCCGUUGUGGAGUGAUACCAGAGGUUUGCAUCUUGAGGUAAAUCAUCUGUAUUUACAUUCAUGAAGGUGUCUCUUGAUUGUAGACUUUGAGAGAUACACCUACCUCCUCCAGAGUCUUCUUGACCUGGCUAGAUGUUCUGAAGGAGCUUUUCUUCAACAAGGAAAGAAUUCUGCGAUCAUUGACUUUAGUUGUCUUCGAUGGUCUUGCAGGUCUUUUAUUGCCGCUGAGCUCGCCAGUGCGUCGCUUCUUUUUACGAAUGAACCAGAUUGCUGACGUGGCCACUGCUAAAGCGCCUGAUCGGUCUGUUUUGUUUUUUGAGCCUAAUGAUGGCCUCCUGCACCUGCACCGACACCUCUUCGGACCGCAUAUUCAAAGCUCCCAUGAACAGCUACCAAAUGCUUGGAAUCAACUCCAGACCUUUUAUCUCCUCGAUCGGUCAGGAAAUAAUGAAGAGGCCGCACCCGGUCACGAAACCGCUUAUCAGUCAACUGUCCAAUUACUUUUGAGCCUGUGAAAACGGAGGGACUCUGUAAAAAACCUAAACGGUUAAUGCAGUAUUUUUGUUCCACCAUCUUCAAAUCCAUUUAUUUCCUCAGAAUAAACGCUUUUGAAUUAAACCUCAGAUUUCUCUCAUACUUCCAGGAGGAGGCUAAAACAUUUCUCAUAACCAUUUUUAUGCGUCUUUACCAAGGGUGCCAAUAUUUCUGGACCUUAUGGUGUGUGUGUGUGUGUGUGUGUGUGUGUGUGUGUGUGUGUGUGUGUGUAGUUCUAUUUGCUGCUGGACCACAGAGCGUGUAACGAUGAAAAGAUGCUCCACGUGGUCGGUUCUCAGAGAAGAGGAGUGUGUCCAUGCUGCUCCAGAGAAACAGAUGAGAGUGUUGUCUCUGAAGACACUGGGACUCAGAAAACACUUGUGGAUUUUGCAGACACACCGGAGUCAUGUAUGAAGCCCAGCGUUAAUCUGAUCUCUCUGGACGACUCACACACAUCAUCUCUGAUCUGAACAUCUGCUGCCUGUGUGUGUGUGUGUGUGUGUGUGUGUGUGUGUGUGUGUGUGUGUGUGUGUGUGUGUGUAAGCAGAGAUCUAAUGUGAGUGAUCAUUAGGGUUUGGGCUGUGCUGAUGUUUGAGGGUGUGAGGGUAUACUGUGAUAAAGACAUCUAAAUGAUCACUAAUGACAAACGCACAUCAGUAUCCAGAGCUCAGACAGAACUACAGACAUACAGUGAAUUCCAUUAAUAUUGGCACCCUUGGUAAAUAUGAGCAAAGUAGGCUGUGAAAAAUUGUCUUUAUUGUUUAACCUUCUGAUCUUUUGUUCAAAAUUCAUGCUCUCAUAGAUAUCAAACAAUCGCAAACACAACACAGGUUUAUGCAAAAAAUAAAAAUUCUUUGUUAAAUAUAGGUGUGCAACAAUUAUUGGCACUUCAGUGAAUUCAUGUGCGAAAAUAUAUUUGAAGUAUUGAUAUUCAUUGAUAUUUAAAAAAUAAUAAUAAUUAAUACACCUGGUGACUAGGAACAGGAAAGUGUUCAACCGUGACUUCCUGUUUCACAGGGGUAUAAAUAUGAGGUAACACACAGGCCAAAUUCCCUUAGUCAUUCAUAACAAUGGGUAAGAGCGAGGAAUGUAGCUGUGAUGUGCGGCAAAAGGUUGUUGAGCUUCACACAAUGGGGCGUGUCUAUAAGAAAAUAGCACAAGCAUUGAAAACGCCCAUUUCACCAUCAGGGCAAUAAUGAAGAAGUUCCAGUCCACUGGAAAUGUUAUGAAUGG
Molecule: long non-coding RNA, 4511 nt
Organism: Ictalurus punctatus (channel catfish)
Lineage: Eukaryota; Metazoa; Chordata; Actinopteri; Siluriformes; Ictaluridae
Source: Ensembl